AGGAGCUAUAGAAAGUACCCAAG
This 23-nucleotide non-coding RNA is filed under the name Mus musculus (house mouse). The record is from RNAcentral. Lineage: Eukaryota; Metazoa; Chordata; Mammalia; Rodentia; Muridae.